RNAcentral lists this ribosomal RNA (744 nucleotides) under uncultured bacterium. RNAcentral's name for it is "bacterial SSU rRNA". It matches the Rfam family "Bacterial small subunit ribosomal RNA", at positions 8 to 796 of the family's 1533-position model. The record is from RNAcentral.
AGAGUUUGAUCCUGGCUCAGAACGAACGCUGGCGGCAGGCUUAACACAUGCAAGUCGAACGCGUGUAGCAAUACACGAGUGGCGCACGGGUGAGUAACGCGUGGAUAUCUGCCUUUUGGUUCGGAAUAACCCCGGGAAACUGGGGCUAAUACCGGAUGGUUCCUACGGGAUAAAGAUUUAUCGCCAAAAGAUGAGUCCGCGUACGAUUAGCUAGUUGGUGAGGUAAUGGCUCACCAAGGCGACGAUCGUUAGCUGGUCUGAGAGGACGAUCAGCCACACUGGGACUGAGACACGGCCCAGACUCCUACGGGAGGCAGCAGUGGGGAAUAUUGGACAAUGGGGGCAACCCUGAUCCAGCCAUGCCGCGUGAGUGAUGAAGGCCUUCGGGUUGUAAAGCUCUUUUGGCGGGGACGAUGAUGACGGUACCCGCAGAAUAAGCCCCGGCUAACUUCGUGCCAGCAGCCGCGGUAAGACGAAGGGGGCUAGCGUUGUUCGGAAUUACUGGGCGUAAAGCGAGUGUAGGUGGUUGUCAUAGUCAGGUGUGAAAGCCUUGAGCUCAACUCAAGAAAUGCACUUGAUACUGGAUGACUAGAGGACCGGAGAGGAUAGUGGAAUUCCCAGUGUAGUGGUGAAAUACGUAGAGAUUGGGAAGAACACCAGUGGCGAAGGCGGCUAUCUGGACGGUUUCUGACACUAAGACUCGAAAGCGUGGGGAGCAAACAGGAUUAGAUACCCUAGUAGUCC